Molecule: ribosomal RNA, 489 nt
Filed under: uncultured bacterium
Lineage: Bacteria
Description: bacterial SSU rRNA
Rfam family: Bacterial small subunit ribosomal RNA
Source: RNAcentral
GGCUCAGAUUGGACGCUGGCGGCAUGCUUUACACAUGCAAGUCGAACGGUAACAGGCCGCAAGGUGCUGACGAGUGGCGAACGGGUGAGUAAUGCAUCGGAACGUGCCCAGUCGUGGGGGAUAACGCAGCGAAAGCUGCGCUAAUACCGCAUACGAUCUAUGGAUGAAAGCGGGGGACCGUAAGGCCUCGCGCGAUUGGAGCGGCCGAUGUCAGAUUAGGUAGUUGGUGGGGUAAAGGCUCACCAAGCCGACGAUCUGUAGCUGGUCUGAGAGGACGACCAGCCACACUGGGACUAAGACACGGCCCAGACUCCUACGGGAGGCAGCAGUGGGGAAUUUUGGACAAUGGGCGCAAGCCUGAUCCAGCAAUGCCGCGUGCAGGAAGAAGGCCUUCGGGUUGUAAACUGCUUUUGUACGGAACGAAACGGCUCUGGUUAAUACCUGGGGCUAAUGACGGUACCGUAAGAAUAAGCACCGGCUAACUACGUG